RNAcentral lists this ribosomal RNA (292 nucleotides) under uncultured bacterium. Its description in RNAcentral is "partial 16S ribosomal RNA". It matches the Rfam family "Bacterial small subunit ribosomal RNA", at positions 505 to 796 of the family's 1533-position model. The record is from RNAcentral.
GUGCCAGCCGCCGCGGUAAUACGGAGGGUGCGAGCGUUAAUCGGAAUCACUGGGCGUAAAGGGCGCGUAGGUGGUGGGGUCAGUCGGGUGUGAAAGCCCCGGGCUUAACCUGGGAAUUGCAUUCGAGACGGCCCGGCUAGAGUUUGGUAGAGGGAAGCGGAAUUCCGCAUGUAGCGGUGAAAUGCGUAGAGAUGCGGAGGAACACCGGUGGCGAAGGCGGCUUCCUGGACCAACACUGACACUGAGGCGCGAAAGCGUGGGGAUCAAACAGGAUUAGAAACCCCUGUAGUCC